Paramuricea clavata is the source of this 1385-nucleotide non-coding RNA. The record is from the annotation of a GenBank genome assembly. Lineage: Eukaryota; Metazoa; Cnidaria; Anthozoa; Malacalcyonacea; Plexauridae.
AGAACCUGUGUGAGUUUUGUUGAGUCAAAUUAAAAGCACUCUUCUCGCAUGCGACUGAGGCAAAGUUCAACUUCAGACAACUGCAUAUAUUGUACGAACUGGGACCCGAAUCUGUACAGCACUACUGAAUGAGCAUGCGCUGUACCGUCAACGCUCCAGUUUCUUCCUGCUUGUCUAGACAAGAGAUGUGUCGUACUUGGUUGGGGAACAUUCAAAGGAUCUCACCGUCCGUGCGGAUCCGAAAACUAUCAAGCACAUGACGUAGAAGUGGUCAGCAGAAAAAACUGUAGUGAAUAUUAUGGUGCACACAUGAUCACAGAUAGAAUGAUUUGUGCCAAGGCAAGGAACGAAACUACGGCGAAUUGUCUGGGCGACACUGGAGGUGAGAUGUACAAAAUUUUCUCAUAAAAUUUCGAGGGGUUGGUGGCAGUGUUGAUUUAGUACAAACAGCAGAGUUUUAUAGCAGAUACAACACCAGAAGCGGCGGAGCAGGGGGCUAGGGGGCUAUUGUAGUAUAGAAGUAAAAGUGUGUGUGUGGUUGGGGGGUAAGCCCCAUUUCUCCCCCGGAAACGAUCAGGUAAAACAGAAAUAUGAAGAUACUCGAUCUUUAUCUAGAAUGCAAAGUGAACAAAAUUACCAACAUUGUGGUCCAAUGAAAUAUUUGGGCAGGGGGGGGGGGCACUUCAGCACCCGUCACAGUUUAGAUUAAGUCACGUAUUUGGCUUCUUUAGGUCCGCUGGUCUGUGAAAUCGCAGGAACAUGGACUGUAGUUGGUGUAACAACUUGGGGCAUUGGCUGCAGCUUGACUCGGAAAUAUGGCAUAUAUACAGAUGUUGGGAGAAUGAAACCUUGGAUAGACAUCGUUUCGAGAGAAAAUCAAUACUCAUAAUAAACAAUAUUUUACUCACUCGUUUGUAAAAUAUUGUUCUCACCACUCGAAGAUAAAGGCAUAUCUUCGCGCCGCCGUGUAAUAUCCUCUAUAGACCCAUUGCACAUGACGUCACAGCGCCGGUGACAAUGCAUCUGGAGGACAAAUUAUAUUAGCAAUCUAUGCAUAAUAUAACAUUUAAUUUGUAAACAAAGCAAAACAAAAUCAGUAAAAAGUGGUCUGAAAAACAGUAAAAGUAACCGGGCCUUUUAAAUACGUUGAUUUUGAUUGGCUAUCUUAUUUUCUAACCCAAACUCUUCCAAGCUUGGUGGGAUUAACGAAUCAUUUGGCUCUUUAUGAAAAAUGAAAAAAGUCGCUGAAAAUGGACGAAAAGUAAAGGCUAUAGCCUUUUCUCAAAGUCGCUAAAAAAGUAAAUAGCCUUCACUUUUCGUCGAUUUUUAGCGACUUUUCUCAUUUUUCGUAGACUUUUUCACUUUUCAUAAAGGGCAAAAAAUAG